UAAGUGGAGAUGGGUUGGCUACUUCAUUCAGUGAAUACUGAAUGUCUUGCUAUCUCUGGGAGUAUGUUAAUGACAGCUUUUCAGCUGUUGAACUAUGGCAAUGUCGAACUAAUUUCUAAAUCUCUUUCUUUUAGUCAAGAAGAUGUGAUGAGCCAGAUCAACCAUUCAGCUUCAAUGCAGCUGUUCAACCCACCACUGCCACUGCUCUACCUCCACAAUGUUGUUGCUCUCUCCAUGUCACCGGUGGAUGACACGUUUAUCUCGGGAUCAUUGGAUAUGACCAUACGACUCUGGGACCUGCACUCUCCCAACUGUCAGGGCUACAACAACAUUUCACUCGAGGCCUGCUGCUUCACCCCAGACUCAGAGUUUGUCAUGAUUGGCAUCUUGGCUUCCCAGUGUAGGAGACUGAUAAAGGAGUGGGGCCACAGAGAAACUGUCAUCAUCAUUACCCAGCAUGUCUUUCUCCUUUCAUGUUGCUCUGAGUAUGCAAAUGCUUAACACUGUGAACUCUUAAUGGCUCCAGAUAAAAUUGUAUGCACACUAAGGCAUUGGUGAAAGGGAUUCCAAUGUCGAUUAUCCCUGAGGAGAGCUGUCACUCUAUACACUGAUUGAUUUGCCAAAUAGGGAAGGUUACAUAAGGGGAGCACUAGAGCUGUGGUUAGUUAUUACUAUUGUCCACCUGUGGCCUGCAGAUAAGUUGAGAUACAUUUUUCUAAGAGUAGAGAAGACCUGAGGUGUACUACUGCCAAACACUUGUUUAGAUAUCUUGUUUUUUUUACUGUGAUUCUGAGCAAACUGCCACAUAAUGUUAAUAAGUAGAGAGUUAUGUAUGAACUUGUAACUUUUUGAUACAAUGACAAACUUCAAUCAAGUGUUAAUUUGACCUGCUGAUACAUGUUUUAUUGGGAAUUCAAUGUUAGUGUUUUUUGUACGGUUUAUUCUGAAAGUAUUCAAAUGUUUUAAUGUCUACUUUUUAUGUCCUUAAACUCUGGUGUUUUUCAUUGGUGUGUGCAUUUGUGUGUGCGUGCACAUAAAGUGUAUCUGUGUGUAUAGUAGAGAGGGGGCCUCUGUUGAAUAAUGUAUAGAACCUUGGAGCUUACUGAAUUAUGGAUGAUCCCAUCACAGGUAACCUCACAGGUACACACUCAUCUUUCUCUCACCACCUAUGUGUGUGUGUGUGUGUGUGUGUGUGUGUGUGUGUGUGUGUGUGUGUGUGUGUGUGUCUUUCUGUCUCUAUCUCUCAUACACACAGUCACAAUCAGACAUAUUGCUAAUGAAAGAGCUUUGUUCUGAGUUUUUGUACCUGGCCAUUGUCUCGGUCCUUAAGUACUGACCAUUAAAAAACCUACCAUUCCUG
RNAcentral lists this long non-coding RNA (1360 nucleotides) under Oncorhynchus kisutch (coho salmon). Its description in RNAcentral is "lncRNA (ENSOKIG00005013289.1)". The record is from RNAcentral. Lineage: Eukaryota; Metazoa; Chordata; Actinopteri; Salmoniformes; Salmonidae.